AGAUGAUGAUGACGACGAUGAUGAACGGUAGAGGUGGGGUAGGAGGAGGCGGGGGUGGAGGAGGUCCGGUCAAGGGGCUGGGAGAGGUGCUGUCGCUGCCGAUCCUCCUGGCGGAGCGGGUGGCGAAGGCGGUGGACGAGGCGGAGUCGUUCAGGUCGGAGUGCGCGGAGGUGGGUAGGCUGGCGGAGCAGGUGGCCACCAUGUUCCGCUCCGCCGCCCGCCGCGCCGCCGCCUACGAUCGCCCCGUCCGCCGCGUCCUCGCCGAGGCCUCCAAGUCCCUCGAGCGCGCCCUCGCCCUCGUCCGCCGCUGCAAGCGCUCCGGCGUCCUCCGCCGCGUCGUCACCAUCACCACUGGUUCCGCCGACUUCCGCAAGACCCUCGCCCUCCUCGACGCCUCCCUUGCCGACCUCCGCUGGCUCAUCUCUAUCUACUCCCCCGACGACGACUCCGGCGCCGUCAUCAGCCUGCCCCCCAUCGCCAGCACCGACCCUAUCCUCUCCUGGGUCUGGAGCUACCUCCCCACCAUCCACUCCGCAGCCCACCACCCCGCCGACCGCGCCGAGGCCGCCCAGGCCCUCGCCAACCUCGCCCUCGACAACGACCGCAACAAGAAGAUCAUCCUCGAGGAGGGCGGCGCGCCGCUGCUCCUCGCCCUCCUCCGCGACGGGCCCUCCAUCGACGCCCAGAUCGCCGCCGCCGCCGCCCUCGCGAGCCUCGCCUCCGCCCCUGAGCACGUUGCCGUGCUCCUCCGUGAGCUCGCCAUCCCACCGUCGUAAGGGUCCUCUCGGACUCCCCCAUGCGCCUCCAGGCCCACGUCGCGGCCCUCGUCUCCCGGAUGGCCGCGCACGAGCCCCUCGCCCGCGAGGAGUUCGCCCGGGAGAACGCCGUCCGUCCACUCGUCUCCCUCCUCUCCUUCGAGGUCCCGCUCGACGACCCCCGCCCUGCCCCCAAGAAGCCCCCGACCAUCCACUCCCUCGUCCAAGGGAUGUCGGCAACGGCGACGGCCAAUUCCAACCUCGUUGGCCGAGUGGUUUCCAAUUCCGCGCGGCCUGUGGACUAUUACCACCACCACCGCAAGGAGCGGGAGAACGAGUGCGCCGAGGUGAAGCUUGCCCUCAGGAUUGCCUGCGCUGAGGCCCUCUGGACACUCUCCAAAGGUUGCGUCUCCAACAGCCGCAAGAUCGCCGAGACCAAAGGCCUACUCUGCCUCUCCAAUAUCAUCGAGCUCGAGAAGGGCGAGCUGCAGCACCACUGCCUUAUGACACUGUUGGAGAUCACCGCCGCGGCGGAGUCCGACGCCGACCUCCGACGCUCGGCCUUUAAAUGGAACUCCCCGGCAGCCAAAUCGGUGGUGGAGCAGCUUCUGCAGAAAGCUCAGCUGGGGAGCAGCCCAGCCCUCCAAAUUGCAGCCAUUAAGUCUAUUGGAUGCUUGGCGCGGACGUUCCCAGCUAGGGAGACUAGAGUCUUGAGCCCUCUCGUGCUCCAGCUUGGGCACUGGAACCCGGACGUGGCCGCCGAAGCAGCCCGGGCAUUGGCGAAAUUUGCUAGUCCAGAGAAUUUCCUCUGUUUGGAGCACUCCAAAACAAUUGUAGAGUUUGCAGGGGUGCCACCGCUGAUAAGGCUGCUGCGGUCGGGUGACAAGGAGCAGCUGCCUGGAGUGACUCUGCUCUGCUACUUCGCGUUGCAUGUGCCCAAGAGCGAAGCUCUGGAACGAGCAAAGGCCUUGAAUACUCUUCAUUCGGUGACUCGUACUCCGCUGGCGCAGGAUCCUUCUCUGACAGAAUUGCUCCCAAAGGCUAUCGACCAGCUUGAGCUUUACCGGGUUGGAGCACAUGCUCGUAGGCAACAACGCGACCACGUCGAUUCGAUCAAACAAGAGAAUAUUCUUGUUUAUUGAGGAAUCAUAAUGCUCUUUGGGGAAACAAUGCUCUUCAAGAUACUGAAACCUUCAAGGAUGUUAUUACUAGUUUGGGAGGUUAUAUUGCACUUGUAGGCCUGCCAGUCAACAAUAGGUUUGGGGGAGACGGAUAGGGUGAUAUCUACUUCAUUCACAUGCAGCCAUUUUUAUCAGAAGUAAUUUAUUUCAGGGGAGACGGAUGGGGUAAUAUCUACUUCAUCAUCACAUGCAGCUAUUUUUAUCCGAAGAAAUUUAUCGAAAUACAUGGAAUAGUCAUCUUGCAUCUCCUGUGUCUUCAACACUCAGAUUGUAUAGUAAAAGAAAGAUCUCUCUUCGAAAAUGAAUUGAUUUGAUGUCACAAGUACUAAAGUUUUUGUUCCUUGCUAAGGCGUUUUAUCUAAGUUACUAAUCUGAUUUAUCUUUGAUAUGGUGAAUUGCAACUUCAUUUCUCUCUCUGAACUAUCAUGCUAUGGCUAAACCUUGCAGAGCUGAGCAUUUAUUGUAGCUAUGAAUUCCCUACUUCUUUGAACAACUAAAAAUGUUAAAACACAAAACUAUUUUAGAAUUGUUGUACAAUAAAAGUCACCUA
This is a non-coding RNA of Phoenix dactylifera (date palm), 2486 nucleotides long. Lineage: Eukaryota; Viridiplantae; Streptophyta; Magnoliopsida; Arecales; Arecaceae. The record is from RefSeq and is a predicted model, not a curated record.